RNAcentral lists this ribosomal RNA (253 nucleotides) under uncultured bacterium. RNAcentral describes it as "partial 16S ribosomal RNA". It matches the Rfam family "Bacterial small subunit ribosomal RNA", at positions 524 to 776 of the family's 1533-position model. The record is from RNAcentral.
UACGUAGGGGGCAAGCGUUAUCCGGAUUUACUGGGUGUAAAGGGGGCGCAGACGGCAGCGCAAGCCAGGAGUGAAAGCCCGGGGCCCAACCCCGGGACUGCUCUUGGAACUGCGCGGCUGGGGUGCAGGAGGGGCAGGCGGAAUUCCUGGUGUAGCGGUGAAAUGCGUAGAUAUCAGGAGGAACACCGGUGGCGAAGGCGGCCUGCUGGACUGCGACUGACGUUGAGGCCCGAAAGCGUGGGGAGCAAACAGG